This 271-nucleotide ribosomal RNA is filed under the name uncultured Staphylococcus sp. RNAcentral's name for it is "partial 16S ribosomal RNA". It matches the Rfam family "Bacterial small subunit ribosomal RNA", at positions 96 to 354 of the family's 1533-position model. Lineage: Bacteria; Bacillati; Bacillota; Bacilli; Caryophanales; Staphylococcaceae. The record is from RNAcentral.
CGGCGGACGGGUGGAGUAACAACGUGGGUAACCGUACCUAUAAGACUCGGGGAUAACUUCGGGAAACCGGAGCUAAUACCGGAUAAUAUUUCGAACCGCAUGGUUCGAUAGUGAAAGAUGGUUUUGCUAUCACUUAUAGAUGGACCCGCGCCGUAUUAGCUAGUUGGUAAGGUAACGGCUUACCAAGGCGACGAUACGUAGCCGACCUGAGAGGGCGAUCGGCCACACUGGAACUGAGACACGGUCCAGACUCCUACGGGAGGCAGCAGGC